AACGAACGCUGGCGGCAGGCCUAACACAUGCAAGUCGAGCGCACCUUCGGGUGAGCGGCGGACGGGUUAGUAACGCGUGGGAAUAUGCCCAGUUCUAAGGAAUAGCCUCUGGAAACGGAGAGUAAUACCUUAUACGCCCUUCGGGGAAAGAUUUAUCGGAAUUGGAUUAGCCCGCGUUAGAUUAGGUAGUUGGUGGGGUAAUGGCCUACCAAGCCUACGAUCUAUAGCUGGUUUGAGAGGAUGAUCAGCAACACUGGGACUGAGACACGGCCCAGACUCCUACGGGAGGCAGCAGUGGGGAAUCUUGGACAAUGGGGGAAACCCUGAUCCAGCCAUGCCGCGUGUGUGAUGAAGGCCCUAGGGUCGUAAAGCACUUUCAACUGUGAAGAUAAUGACGGUAGCAGUAGAAGAAACCCCGGCUAACUCCGUGCCAGCAGCCGCGGUAAU
This 447-nucleotide ribosomal RNA is filed under the name uncultured bacterium. RNAcentral's name for it is "bacterial SSU rRNA". It matches the Rfam family "Bacterial small subunit ribosomal RNA", at positions 29 to 524 of the family's 1533-position model. The record is from RNAcentral.